CCGUGUGACUGUUCUUCUUCUCCACAAAAUACACCAGAAUCCAGCUCUAAUUCAGUCCAAGUUCAGGCGAGUGAAUCUCAAACCUAUAACCACGCGUCCCUCAUUCUCUCAUCUUACCAUUUCUAACGGUCUCUGACGGAAGAUUCUUCCUACUUGCUCGAUUUGAGCCUUAUGGAAAAGGAUUUUCUAGAUGAGUGUGAGGCGUUGGAUUGAUUUCACUUAAUCCAAGCCCCACAUUCAACAGGAAUUCAUUUUCAAAAGAAGUUCUAUCAAAUUUUGAAGGGGGAUCGGCUAAAAAAUUUCAGAGAAAAAGGGUCAAAAGGUUUUCUAUGAACAAAAUUACUCUUUCGAGUUGAUUUUCUUUGACGAGGUCAUUAAAUUUUAAGAAAGACAUAGAUACAUCUUUUUUUCUUCUUAUUUUGAAUCCAAUGAGCCAGGGGUCGAUUGGAAACAGCCUCUCUGCCCUUUCGGGGAGGGGUAAGGCUUGUCUACAUAUUACCCUCCCCAGACCCCACCUGGUGGGAGUAUAGUGGGUAGUUGUUGUUGUUGUUGUUGUUGUUGUUGUUAUUUUGAAUCCAGAUUUGAGUUCCUGGAAGAUACAAAUUGAAGUUCGAGCUAUGUUUCUACUAUUGUUCUGCUGAUCUCUACUGAACCUGGAUAGAAUUCAAGAUCAAAAUGUGUAUUUUCGAGAAUAUAUUUAUUAAAAAUUUUGAAAUUUCAUGUUCGAUUUCUUUAUUUUUCGUAUGUGAGAUUUUGUCCAGAAUGAUGUUUGGUUCUGUGCGUGAUUCUUUUAGUUGUUGAACUGCUUCUCAGUUGUGUGCAUUUGAAUAUUUUCAGUUAGUAGAAGUUGAUUUCGAGUGGUCAUUUUCUUUGGUUUAACCUAUAUUGUGAUGUUGAGUUUCAUUUGAGUCAAGGUUCCGUCUCCUUCAAAUGAACGAUGUGUUCAACUUCCGUGAUUGCUAGACAAGCCUGAAACUAUGUCAUUUAUUC
Molecule: long non-coding RNA, 990 nt
Filed under: Nicotiana benthamiana
Lineage: Eukaryota; Viridiplantae; Streptophyta; Magnoliopsida; Solanales; Solanaceae
Description: long non-coding RNA (NBEN_LNC022360)
Rfam family: MIR6151 microRNA precursor family (bases 182-252)
Source: RNAcentral